AUCCGCUGAGGCCGCGCCGGGCGCCAAGGGCGCGGUACCUGGAGUCGAACUUCUGGCCGUCGGGGAACGUCCCCACGUAGUGGUAGCGCACGAAGUCGCCGCUGCGCACGGUGCGCGGGCACUCGUCGGGCACGAAGCGCCGCUCGAUCUGCAGCUCCGCGUCGGAGCCCAGGCCCGCCACGGGCGCUGCCUGCCCGGUCACCCAGAGCAGCAGCAGGAGCAGCGGUGGCGGCGGGGGCCUCCAGCCCCGGAACGCCAUCGGGGCGGCGAGAAGAGUGGCGCGGACGCAGCGCGGCGCUCGGGCGGCACGGGUCGGCCUGGGCGUUCGGCUGCGUUUGCAAACGUGGACCGGGUCUCCUGGCCCUACCCGGGCUGCAGCCGCCACCCCGUCUCCCCGGCCGCCCGCCCUCCCGGCCGCAGCUCCAGGGGAGGAGCCCAGCCUGGCCGCGCGCCGAGGGCGGGCCUGCUGCGCCCUGCCCCGCCCGGCAUUGGGAAUGUGCGUGCCGCAGCGGGGAGGGGGGCUGGGAACUCCAGUGGGGACCAAGUCUGGGCCUAGAGAGGGCGUGUCCCCGAGCGAGACACUGUGAUCUCCGGACAAGGCUUUGGCCCAAAGUCGGAAGAGAAAAGCGCGUACUGCCCAAGCCCACCCGCUGGUCUCCGCCCGUCCCUGGAGACACCGGGUUUGGUGCCGUGAGGGGCUCCUACGUGGCCGUGGAUCCAAUUUUCCCUUGCUGCUUUGGAGAGGGAGGGAAAAUUAGAUUUUAAUUUUUUAAGCUUAGUUACAAGGGUAUGGUCUACCUUGAAAGAGACCGAAACCAUCCUUCAGGACUUUUUUUUUUUUUUUUUAAUACUGCUUAAAGGAAAAGGAAGGCCGGGCGCCGUGGCUCACGCCUGUAAUCCCAACGCUUUGGGAGGCCAAGGCAGGCGGAUCACGAGGUCAGGAGAUGGAGACCAUCCUGGCCAACAUGAUGAAACCCCGUCUCUACUAAAAAUACAAAAAAAUUAGCCAGGCUUGGUGGCGCGUGCCUGUAGUCCCAGCUACUCGGGAGGCUGAGGUAGGAGAAUCGCUGGAACCCGGGAGGCGGAGGUUGCAGCGAGCCGAGAUCGCGCCACUGCACACCAGCCCUGGCGACAGUACGAGACACUGUCUCCAAAAAAAGAAAAGGGAGGCAUGUAUUGCGAGAGGCUCCCGUGACACUUGUCUAGGCAAAAGUUUUAAGGCACCGUGAGGGUCCUCCAAGCCAUCAGCGGCCGCACUGUGAGCUGAUACUUGCAGACAUCCUACAAGCUCCCAUAUACGAGCCUAUGCCAGGGAGGACUUCAUCAUAGAGACCCAGAAGCCACAGGAAUCCAUUAGAGUAAUCAGAUGCACUUGGAAUUGGAAUUGGGUGUUAUAAUUUAUUAAAAUUUUGGAAUAAUGAAAGCAAAUCACCAACUCUUUCUCAACUCGUUUUGGAAGCAAACACAAUUCUGAUACCAAAACCUGGCAAAGAGAGCAACAAAAAAGAAAAAUAAAACUGAAAAAACAGGGCACGAUCUAAUUUAUAAAUAUAAAUGCAAAAAUACUGAAUAAAACGUAAUAAAAUCGGAUUCAACCGCAUAUUAGGCCAGGCGCAGUGGCUCACACCUGUAACCCUAGCACUUUGGGAGGCCGAGGUGGUUGGAUCACCUGAAGUCAGGAGUUCAAGACCAGCCUGUCCAACAUGGUGAAACCCUGGCUCUACUAAAAAUACAAAAAUUAGCAGGGUGUGGUGGCACGGCCUGUAGUCCCAGCUACUUGGGAGGCUGAGGCAGAAAAAUUGCUGGAACCUGGGAGUCGAAGGUUGCAAUGAGCCGAGAUUGUGCCACUAAAUUGCACCACUGCACUCCAGCC
This 1873-nucleotide long non-coding RNA is filed under the name Homo sapiens (human). RNAcentral describes it as "non-protein coding lnc-NT5C3A-3:1". The record is from RNAcentral. Lineage: Eukaryota; Metazoa; Chordata; Mammalia; Primates; Hominidae.